This is a long non-coding RNA of Octopus bimaculoides (California two-spot octopus), 1967 nucleotides long. RefSeq lists it as uncharacterized. The record is from RefSeq and is a predicted model, not a curated record. Lineage: Eukaryota; Metazoa; Mollusca; Cephalopoda; Octopoda; Octopodidae.
AACUUCCUGUCUUUGGCGCUCUGACGUAGUAACUGAGUUUCAACUUCCUGUAUUUGACGUCCCAACCACUCAUUUGCAUAUACGCGCAUGCGUACCUCAUUGCAGUGAUGACCGUUUCUGUUAUUUGAAAAGGUACUUUCAUGUGAGAAAAAAUAUUUCACACGGAAAUAGACACCAUUUCCUUGAUUUUCCACCAAUAUAUAUUUCGGACUUUUUUUUGGAACAAGUCGCCUUAUUAACAUUUGAUAUUCAGUUGUGACGAUUUCAGAUAAAAAAAAAAGAAUUUCUAAAGGAAUCAAUACCAGACUGGGAUUUCAAGAAAAAAGAAAUUUUAAUGAAGAAUUAUCAUUAUUGCAUCUAUUUUUCAAUGCUGGCAUAGACUGGAUAAUAUUGGUUUCAAAUUUACGCACAAGGCCAGCAAUUUUAAGGGAAAGCUUUUGAAUGAUGCCACUCUGCUGGUUAGGUCAGCACGCCACUCCGUCACACGGUUAUUCAGUUACAGCUGACCAGCCUAAAGCAAUGUGAAAUGAAGUGUUUUGUUCAAUAAUACAACACACAGCCAACCUGAGAAUUGAAACCUCGAUCUUACAAUCACAAAUACAAUGCACCUAACCACUCACCCAUGCACCUUCAUAUUAUACAUAGAGAAACCAUCAGAAGACAGCAAAUGGAUGGUUGAGAACUGCUGCUGUCAGGUGAACUGCAGGUGCCAAUGGCCAGAGUCAAUCACCUUACUACAGGUGAUUACCAUUCGUAAUCCCAUCUAAUUUACAACUGGCCAGCAUAAACAGGACAGACAUACCAACCAACAUAAUAUGUACCCUAUUGAUGAAAAAGUUUCUGCUAAAUAAAGAUCUAAAAAAAAAUGGCUUCUCCUCAAGAAAAGGCACAAUGUGUAUGUCACGGUUUAUUGAAGCAAAAUCAAACAUGCAGACCCAGGAUUAAGUAUGGAAGACAUCCACCAUCAUUUCAUGCAUGGAACAAAAAAUUUAUGGAAAUAGGAACAGUGUUGAAUAAAGGAAAGAGUGGACGACCAAAAUUAUCUGAGGAAAACAUCAAUCAUGUAAGACAAGCCUUUGCUAUUUCUCCUACAAAGUCCAUACUAUGAUCAACAGUGCACAAAGUCCACAAGAGCUUGUGAUUGCAUGCUUACAAAGUGCAUCUCUUACAAGCACUUGAACCAAAUGAUAAACCAAGGCGAAAAGAGUUUGCAGUCAACAUGCUGGAAUGAAUUUCUGUGAAUGCAGCAUUCCUCACCUCGAGUUUGUUUUAGUGAUGAAACAACCUUUCAUGUUUCAGGGAAACUGAACACACAUAAUGUGAGGAUCUGGGGAUCAGAACAUCCCCAUGUGGCUCCAUAUGACUAGUCUUAGGGUGAACGUCUGGUGUGGGACGAUGUGUACUCAGAUCAUUGGUCCAUUUUUCUUCACAGAGAAAUCAAUUUCUGCAAAUAUUUAAAAUCCAACAUCCAGUCAACAUCAUGGUGUCUUAAGUGAUCACUUGUGAUGGCGACAUUACGCCUCCAUUCAUCUUCCCAUACAGCCUCAGACUCAACAUGGGGGCCUUCAUGAAGUGCCUGGAGGAGGUGUGAUUGCAGGAAGACCCUAUGUCUGGCAACAGGACUCUGCACCAUGCCACACAAGCAGGAGAACCCAGUCAUGGCUGUCAGACAAUUUCUACAUCCACAUCACCCCUAACAUCAGACCACCUAACUCCCCAGACUGCAAACCCCUUGAUUAUUAUGUGUGGGGGGCACAGUUGAGUAAGAGACCAACAAAACUCCUUGUAACACCAAAGAUGAACUGAAGGCAAGGAUUAUGGCAGCAUUCACCAAUUUAAACAAAGAGACUGUCCAGAAGAGUUGCAAGAGAUUUCGAAAUCAUCUGGAGUCCAAGCAUUUUACAUUUGAUGUAAUGUUCACAUUGCUUAAAUAAAUGGAGUCGCAUGAAACGAUCGUACUGCAUUAA